ACGGGUGCGUAACGCGUGGGAAUCUGCCCUUGGGUUCGGAAUAACAGUUAGAAAUGACUGCUAAUACCGGAUGAUGUCUUCGGACCAAAGAUUUAUCGCCCAAGGAUGAGCCCGCGUAAGAUUAGCUAGUUGGUGGGGUAAUGGCCCACCAAGGCGACGAUCUUUAGCUGGUCUGAGAGGAUGAUCAGCCACACUGGGACUGAGACACGGCCCAGACUCCUACGGGAGGCAGCAGUGGGGAAUAUUGGACAAUGGGCGAAAGCCUGAUCCAGCAAUGCCGCGUGAGUGAUGAAGGCCUUAGGGUUGUAAAGCUCUUUUACCAGGGAUGAUAAUGACAGUACCUGGAGAAUAAGCUCCGGCUAACUCCGUGCCAGCAGCCGCGGUAAUACGGAGAGAGCUAGCGUUGUUCGGAAUUACUGGGCGUAAAGCGUACGUAGGCGGUUACUCAAGUCAGAGGUGAAAGCCCGGGGCUCAACCCCGGAACUGCCUUUGAAACUAGGUAGCUAGAGUCUUGGAGAGGUUAGUGGAAUUCCGAGUGUAGAGGUGAAAUUCGUAGA
RNAcentral lists this ribosomal RNA (557 nucleotides) under uncultured Novosphingobium sp. Its description in RNAcentral is "bacterial SSU rRNA". It matches the Rfam family "Bacterial small subunit ribosomal RNA", at positions 102 to 694 of the family's 1533-position model. Lineage: Bacteria; Pseudomonadati; Pseudomonadota; Alphaproteobacteria; Sphingomonadales; Sphingomonadaceae. The record is from RNAcentral.